UACACUCCUGCGGGAGGCAGCAGUGGGGAAUUUUGGACAAUGGGGGCAACCCUGAUCCAGCAAUGCCGCGUGAGUGAAGAAGGCCUUCGGGUUGUAAAGCUCUUUUGUCAGGGAAGAAACGGUGGUGGCGAAUAACUACUACUAAUGACGGUACCUGAAGAAUAAGCACCGGCUAACUACGUGCCAGCAGCCGCGGUAAUACGUAGGGUGCAAGCGUUAAUCGGAAUUACUGGGCGUAAAGCGUGCGCAGGCGGUUGUGUAAGUCAGAUGUGAAAUCCCCGGGCUCAACCUGGGAAUUGCAUUUGAGACUGCACGGCUAGAGUGUGUCAGAUGGGGGUAGAAUUCCACGUGUAGCAGUGAAAUGCGUAGAUAUGUGGAGGAAUACCGAUGGCGAAGGCAGCCCCCUGGGAUAACACUGACGCUCAUGCACGAAAGCGUGGGGAGCAAACAGGAUUAGAAACCCUUGUAGUCCCAUG
This 476-nucleotide ribosomal RNA is filed under the name uncultured organism. RNAcentral's name for it is "partial 16S ribosomal RNA". It matches the Rfam family "Bacterial small subunit ribosomal RNA", at positions 332 to 799 of the family's 1533-position model. The record is from RNAcentral.